UAGGGAAUCUUCGGCAAUGGACGAAAGUCUGACCGAGCAACGCCGCGUGAGUGAAGAAGGUUUUCGGAUCGUAAAACUCUGUUGUUAGAGAAGAACAAGGACGUUAGUAACUGAACGUCCCCUGACGGUAUCUAACCAGAAAGCCACGGCUAACUACGUGCCAGCAGCCGCGGUAAUACGUAGGUGGCAAGCGUUGUCCGGAUUUAUUGGGCGUAAAGCGAGCGCAGGCGGAUUCUUAAGUCUGAUGUGAAAGCCCCCGGCUCAACCGGGGAGGGUCAUUGGAAACUGGGAGACUUGAGUGCAGAAGAGGAGAGUGGAAUUCCAUGUGUAGCGGUGAAAUGCGUAGAUAUAUGGGGGAACACCAGUGGCGAAGGCGGCUCUCUGGUCUGUAACUGACGCUGAGGCUCGAAAGCGUGGGGAGCAAACAGG
This 429-nucleotide ribosomal RNA is filed under the name Gemmatimonadota bacterium. Its description in RNAcentral is "Gemmatimonadetes bacterium partial 16S ribosomal RNA". It matches the Rfam family "Bacterial small subunit ribosomal RNA", at positions 355 to 776 of the family's 1533-position model. The record is from RNAcentral. Lineage: Bacteria; Pseudomonadati; Gemmatimonadota.